RNAcentral lists this ribosomal RNA (138 nucleotides) under uncultured eukaryote. RNAcentral's name for it is "partial 18S ribosomal RNA". It matches the Rfam family "Eukaryotic small subunit ribosomal RNA", at positions 1299 to 1458 of the family's 1831-position model. The record is from RNAcentral.
UGGUGGAGUGAUUUGUCUGGUUAAUUCCGUUAACGAACGAGACUUUACCCUGCUAAAUAGACACUAUAGUUCGACCUAUAGCUGGACUUCUUAGAGGGACUUUGCGCGUUUAGCGCAAGGAAGUUUAAAGCAAUAACA